Molecule: long non-coding RNA, 2650 nt
Organism: Planococcus citri (citrus mealybug)
Lineage: Eukaryota; Metazoa; Arthropoda; Insecta; Hemiptera; Pseudococcidae
Exons: 3
Source: RefSeq, a predicted model, not a curated record
GAGAACGAAUUCGUACUGUAAGAGUAUUGGAACAUGUGCCUAAGAAAGAAAUAAGUACCUAUACGAGCCAAACAUUCCUACAUAAUACAUAGGGUUUUGUAUAUGUAUUAUUAGUAAUAAUGUAUUCGUUGAAAACCGAAAACGACAACUGUGCGGUGAAGGCCCUCCAGGUUGAUAUACUUCUCUUCAUUCUGUACGUAUAGUGUUCAAUUCAUCUAUGGAAACAAAAAGAGACAAAGUCGGUUCCCUUUGAUGUAGAUCGGCGUCCGCCAACGGUGUCUGAAAAUGAAAACAACUUAUCAAGCCGAAUGCUAGAUGAAUUGGUACUUGGAUAUGAUAUGCAAUUUACUCGCGAAGUACAUAUUCUAUUUUAUCGGUGUGAAAGUACCUACGUAUUUGGCAACAUGGUCAAGCCGCCUAAACACAGAAUGAAGCUAAUUUAUGUAUAAUUUUUCUGGUCGACGAUAAUACGCGGAUAUAUGGGACAUAUAUGGGUACCAAAUCGAUGCUAUUAACUUAAAACGUUCGAUGUGGAUAAACGCAGGAAAUAUUAACCUUUAAUAGAUAUUGUCGACGAAAAUUUACAUCAAGGUAAUCAACCUAUAGGUACCUAUGUACCUAUAUCUGCUUAAAUUUAAUUUGACCAAUUCGGCAACCGAAGUUUGGCGGUGUAUUUUCGUGUUUAGAAAAUGUAAAAGCUUAUCUACACGGCGAUCUCAUCAUCGUCGAGUAUAGAAGUGAUUUUAACAUUAUUGCGUUAAAAGCCUAUAUCGUUCAUUGCCAAUUAACACAUCGUCUAUAUGUGUGCUUUUCACUUCCUUGAUUAAUUAUUUAUAAUACGAGAAAUGACGCUAAUUGUCCAUCGAAUAGAGUGUUAUGUAUUAUUAUUCGAGAUGGUAAACGAGAGCUCAUCGUGUUAUGUGUGUAUGAGUUGAUACGAUAUUAUCUUAAAAAUCACAUAAUUUCAGCCUCUAUUGUGUAUAACUAAUGAUGUAGAUGUAGGUAUUAUACAUAUAUAUUGCUCAUGUCGCUGGAUCUUUUUCUCCAUACCAUAUGUGGAUAUGAUUACGGUGUACGUGUAGUGAUAACAUGUAUAUUGUUUGGUACCAUGUAUACAUACAUAACCAACAAAACUAAUAAUCAUUUGAAAAGCACAACAGGACGUACAAUGUACCUAGGUAUAAAAUACUCCCACAUUCGAGACACCACCACCGCAUGGACUGCUCUGCAGUGAGAUUCGAUUCUGGUUUGUAAUACGAAUAAUCGUAUUUACCUCCUCUUCCUUUUACUCAUUUUGUAUGUUUGUGUCUCUUUCAGUCUUCGAAAAAUGUACGAGUAUUCUCAUUAGCACCUUCCACCUUGACUCUGAAAAGUUUAAAGGGUAUCGUCUGUAUCGGCAUCCUCUUUGUUGUGUGGUUCCAAGAAGAAGCGAUGGUAUGGAUGAUACACCUUUGGGUUCUAGUUCCUGAUCUAAUAUUUUUGUUUGUCAGUGAUCUUCCUGUAUGACUAUGAUUAGUUUCCUUUGCGAAAAUUCCAUGCAUUAGCAUUUCAGAACGACCUAAAAGCACAGACAAAAAAUAAAAAUGUUUCUACCUACUUACUCGAGAUCACAAUUUUUAGAUCAAAGCACAACUUUUCUCAAUUUACCUUUUAAGAAUGGAUUUUUCUCAAUUUCCACUACCUAUGCUAUUAUCUUUUAGUUUUCCCAACCACUUUCAUUUUCAAAUCCAAAAAAUAAGCUUCAAAUUCGGUAACCUCGAGCUAGAAGAAUAAUUGAUAUACAUAUCACAUCAAAUUUUCAUCAUUUUUGGAGCUUUUUAAAAAUGGGAAGGUGUGCUGAAAAAUUCUGAGAAGUGACUCAGAAAAUGAGUAAAAAUUCGAAAUAGCUCUCUCGAAACCAUUGAUACUGAUACCUAGCCAUAAAAAGCAUCAUUUGACUAUGUUUAGAGCACAUAUGGAGAGGGGAGGUGUAAGCUCGAGAAAUUCUGGAAUAAUCCCUCAAGCUCUCAAUCUCUAAUGGUCAUUUCGCCGAAUGAGCAUUUUCUCGAAUAGUUUUUUCCCGAACUUUUUUUUUGACGGUUGAAUUCUCGAAUCAGAUUUCUCAAAUUAGUAUUCCCUAAACGACUAUUCCUCAAAAUUAGUCUUCUCUGUAGGAUUUUUUUUGAAUUUUUUGCAAAAAACAAAAACAGACUUCCUUUGGUAAUUUUGACAAAAAAAAGGAUUUUUUCAAAACAAUUUUGGCGAAACUGGGUAUUUUUCUGUUGUUUUUUUAUGAAAAAAUUACGAAAAAAUAAGGAUUUUUUGCAACUAGGGCAAAAAAGGGAAAAACGUUUUGAUAAUCAUUGAAAAGCAGUUUUUUGCCAUUUAGAUGAAAAAGCAGAUUUUUACGAUAAAAAAGUAUGGAUUUCUAGAAAUUUUAACAAAAAAAAAGUUUUUUGGUACUUUGAAAAAAAGCAAGACUUUUUAGCCAUUUUGAUUGAAAAAUAGAUUUUUGACAAUUUUUUCACAACAUGAGUAUUUUUUUAUUUUUGCAAUUUCGGCAAAAAAAUACAAUUUUUAGGUAAGUAAUUAUAACCAAAAAAAAGGGGUUUUGCAACUUCAAAAAAAAAAAAAACUUUUUGGACAUUUUGAUAAAAAAGAACCACGCAUC